AUGUUUCUCACGAUCAUGUUGUUGGAUCGGUCUGUGGAGAAACUGUUGUUGCUUAACUGUUCUGCAGCAUGGAGGAGUGAAUUAAACAUGUUUCGGUUGGUGUAUGUUUGUAUUAGAUCAGAAGGUUUUAUGCAAGGUGGUUGUGUUAAAAAUGGAACCGAGGCGGAGAUAUAUGUCAAGGUACAGUGCACGUAA
Vicia faba (fava bean) is the source of this 195-nucleotide non-coding RNA. Lineage: Eukaryota; Viridiplantae; Streptophyta; Magnoliopsida; Fabales; Fabaceae. The record is from the annotation of a GenBank genome assembly.